CGCUAGUGGUGGUGGAGUCGUUGGUGAAAUACCACUCUGAUUGUUCUGGUUAUCUCACUGUGGACCGUGAUCCGGUUCAAGGACAGUGCCUGAUGGGUAGUUUGACUGGGGCGGUCGCCUCCCAAAUGGUAACGGAGGCGUACAAAGGUUUCCUCUGAACGUGUAGAAAUCGUAUCUAGAGUAUAAAGGCAUAAGGAAGCUUGACUGUGAGACUUACAAGUCGAGCAGGGACGAAAG
This 237-nucleotide ribosomal RNA is filed under the name Chloropicon mariensis. Its description in RNAcentral is "partial Bacterial large subunit ribosomal RNA". It matches the Rfam family "Bacterial large subunit ribosomal RNA", at positions 2169 to 2405 of the family's 2925-position model. The record is from RNAcentral. Lineage: Eukaryota; Viridiplantae; Chlorophyta; Chloropicophyceae; Chloropicales; Chloropicaceae.